CUCCAGAUGUUGCUGAACUACAACUCUCAUGAUUCUAUGGCUGUCAUUGAAAGAAUCAUGGGAGUUGUAGUUCAGCAACAUCUUGAG
Molecule: non-coding RNA, 87 nt
Organism: Pelobates cultripes (western spadefoot toad)
Lineage: Eukaryota; Metazoa; Chordata; Amphibia; Anura; Pelobatidae
Source: the annotation of a GenBank genome assembly